AUUGAACGCUGGCGGCAGGCCUAACACAUGCAAGUCGAACGGUAACAGGAAGAAGCUUGCUUCUUUGCUGACGAGUGGCGGACGGGUGAGUAAUGUCUGGGAAACUGCCUGAUGGAGGGGGAUAACUACUGGAAACGGUAGUUAAUACCGCAUAACGUCGCAAGACCAAAGAGGGGGACCUUCGGGCCUCUUGCCAUCGGAUGUGCCCAGAUGGGAUUAGCUAGUAGGUGGGGUAACGGCUCACCUAGGCGACGAUCCCUAGCUGGUCUGAGAGGAUGACCAGCCACACUGGAACUGAGACACGGUCCAGACUCCUACGGGAGGCAGCAGUGGGGAAUAUUGCACAAUGGGCGCAAGCCUGAUGCAGCCAUGCCGCGUGUAUGAAGAAGGCCUUCGGGUUGUAAAGUACUUUCAGCGGGGAGGAAGGGAGUAAAGUUAAUACCUUGGCUCAUUGACGUUACCCGCAGAAGAAGCACCGGCUAACUCCGUG
RNAcentral lists this ribosomal RNA (490 nucleotides) under uncultured bacterium. RNAcentral describes it as "partial 16S ribosomal RNA". It matches the Rfam family "Bacterial small subunit ribosomal RNA", at positions 30 to 507 of the family's 1533-position model. The record is from RNAcentral.